UAGCUCAGGGGUAGAGCACUUGCCUAGAAAGCAUGAGGCCCUGAGUUCAAGUCUCAG
RNAcentral lists this transfer RNA (57 nucleotides) under Rattus norvegicus (Norway rat). It matches the Rfam family "tRNA", at positions 8 to 63 of the family's 71-position model. From Rfam's summary of the family: Transfer RNA (tRNA) molecules are approximately 80 nucleotides in length. Their secondary structure includes four short double-helical elements and three loops (D, anti-codon, and T loops). Further hydrogen bonds mediate the characteristic L-shaped molecular structure. tRNAs have two regions of fundamental functional importance: the anti-codon, which is responsible for specific mRNA codon recognition, and the 3' end, to which the tRNAs corresponding amino acid is attached (by aminoacyl-tRNA synthetases). tRNAs cope with the degeneracy of the genetic code in two manners: having more than one tRNA (with a specific anti-codon) for a particular amino acid; and 'wobble' base-pairing, i.e. permitting non-standard base-pairing at the 3rd anti-codon position. Lineage: Eukaryota; Metazoa; Chordata; Mammalia; Rodentia; Muridae. The record is from Rfam by way of RNAcentral.